ACUUGGAUAGCUUAAAUUAUAAAGCUUAACUCUGAAGAAGUUAUUAUAGGUUUAUACCUUCUAAGUG
This 67-nucleotide transfer RNA is filed under the name Graphosoma rubrolineatum. Its description in RNAcentral is "tRNA-Phe". The record is from RNAcentral. Lineage: Eukaryota; Metazoa; Arthropoda; Insecta; Hemiptera; Pentatomidae.